ACACAUGCAAGUCGAACGGAGCACCCUUGAUUGAGGUUUCGGCCAAAUGAUAGGAAUGCUUAGUGGCGGACUGGUGAGUAACGCGUGAGGAACCUGCCUUUCAGAGGGGGACAACAGUUGGAAACGACUGCUAAUACCGCAUGACGCAUUUUGAUCGCAUGGUCGAAAUGCCAAAGAUUUAUCGCUGAAAGAUGGCCUCGCGUCUGAUUAGCUAGUUGGUGAGGUAACGGCCCACCAAGGCGACGAUCAGUAGCCGGACUGAGAGGUUGACCGGCCACAUUGGGACUGAGAUACGGCCCAGACUCCUACGGGAGGCAGCAGUGGGGAAUAUUGGGCAAUGGGCGCAAGCCUGACCCAGCAACGCCGCGUGAAGGAAGAAGGCUUUCGGGUUGUAAACUUCUUUUAAGUGGGAAGAGUAGAAGACGGUACCACUUGAAUAAGCCACGGCUAACUACGUGCCAGCAGCCGCGGUAAUACGUAGGUGGCAAGCGUUGUCCGGAUUUACUGGGUGUAAAGGGCGUGCAGCCGGGCAUGCAAGUCAGAUGUGAAAUCUCAGGGCUUAACCCUGAAACUGCAUUUGAAACUGUAUGUCUUGAGUGCCGGAGAGGUAAUCGGAAUUCCUUGUGUAGCGGUGAAAUGCGUAGAUAUAAGGAAGAACACCAGUGGCGAAGGCGGAUUACUGGACGGUAACUGACGGUGAGGCGCGAAAGCGUGGGGAGCGAACAGGAUUAGAUACCCUGG
This 741-nucleotide ribosomal RNA is filed under the name uncultured bacterium. RNAcentral's name for it is "bacterial SSU rRNA". It matches the Rfam family "Bacterial small subunit ribosomal RNA", at positions 51 to 790 of the family's 1533-position model. The record is from RNAcentral.